Molecule: long non-coding RNA, 681 nt
Filed under: Nicotiana tabacum (common tobacco)
Lineage: Eukaryota; Viridiplantae; Streptophyta; Magnoliopsida; Solanales; Solanaceae
Description: long non-coding RNA (NTAB_LNC019184)
Source: RNAcentral
AUAACGAGGAACGGCCACGGCUAGGCAGUGACUAUGGUUCCUUAGGUUGUAUUUGAUGGCUCGGAAUAAUUUUAGGCGAUCGAGGUCCGGGGGCCCGGACCUACUCGGAAGGCGUGGGCUAUAGCAUACGAAAAUAUGGGAAUCGGGCGGAAUUCUAGUAUUUUGGCCGUAUAACGCAAGAAACGAGGAACGGUCAUGGAGGGGCGGUGACUAUGGUUCGAUAGGUGGUAUUUGAUAGCCCAGAAAUAUUUUAGGCGAUCGGGGUCCGGGGGGCCCGGAACUCAUUAGGAAGGCGUGGGCUAUAACAUACGAAAAUAUAGGAAUCGGGCGAAAUUCUAGUUUUUUUAUCGUAAAACGGAAAACAACGAGGAACGGUCAUGGCAGGGCGGUGACUAUGGUUCUUUAGGACCAUUUUUGAUGGCCCAAAUAAAUUUUAGGCAAUCGGGGUCCGGGUGGCCCGGACCCACUCGGAAGGCGUGGGCUUAGCACACAAAAAUAUGAGAAUCGGGCGGAAUUCUAGUUUUUUGGCCGUAAAACGCAAAACAACGAGGAACGACCAUGGUGGGGCGGUGACUAUGGUCCCUUAGGUCGUAUUUGAUAGCCCGAAAAUAUUUUAGGCGAUCGGGGUCCGGGGGGUCCGGAACCCACUAGGAAGGCGUGGGCUAUAGCACACGAAUAUAU